CUAGCUGUAAACGAUGUGAACUAGGUGUCGGUGGGAUUAAAUCCAUCGGUGUCGAAGCUAACGCGAUAAGUUCACCGCCUGAGGACUACGGCCGCAAGGUUAAAACUCAAAGGAAUUGACGGGGACCCGCACAAGCAGCGGAGCGUGUGGUUUAAUUCGUUGCUACACGAAGAACCUUACCUGGGUUUGACAUACUGGUUGUAGAGAACUGAAAAGGGACCGACCCUUCGGGGAGCCAGUACAGGUGU
This 248-nucleotide ribosomal RNA is filed under the name uncultured Anaerolineaceae bacterium. RNAcentral's name for it is "partial 16S ribosomal RNA". It matches the Rfam family "Bacterial small subunit ribosomal RNA", at positions 796 to 1041 of the family's 1533-position model. The record is from RNAcentral. Lineage: Bacteria; Bacillati; Chloroflexota; Anaerolineae; Anaerolineales; Anaerolineaceae.